AUGAUAAAGUACUAUUCCCAAAGUGACUUAUGGAAGAAAGAAUUUAUUUUGGGAUUAUGGGUCCAGAGGGAUAAAGAGUCCAUCAUGGCUGGGAAGCAUAGCAGCAUCAGGCAUGGCAGCUGGGGCGGGAAGUGGAGAGGUCACAUCCUAGCCAUAAGCAUGAAGCUGAGAGAGCAUUGUGGAAGCCCAGCAAGGCCUUCAGCUCUCAAAGCCUUCCCCCAGUGACGUGCGUCCCCCAGAAAGACCAUGCUUCUUCAGCCUCCCCAAACAGUGCUGCCAACUGGGGACCAAGAAUUCAAAUAUUGGAGCCUAUGAGGUACAUUUCUCUCUCUUUUUUUUCUUUUUAUGGGCUCUGUCUGCAUAUACACCUCAAUGCCAGAAGAGGGCACCAGAUCCCAUUCUAGGUGGCUGUGAGCCACCGUGUGGUUACUGGGAAUUGAACUUAGGACCUCUGUAAGAGCAGCCAGUGCUCUUAACCUCUGAGCCAUCUCUCUAGCUUGACAUUGCUUAUUAAAACAAGCAUAGUCGGUCAGGUUUAUUCCAUGGUAUUUUGUUAAUUUAAAUUUAAGGAUAUUGUGAAGGUAUGUAUGCCUUUUGAUUUUGUAACCUGCCACCUUGCUGAAAGUGUUUAUCAGGUUUAGGGGAGUCUUCAGGGUCUUUCAGUUACAGAAAAAAUAUAUGCAAAUAGGAACACUUUCAGUUCAUUCUUUUGUCUUAAUGCUCUAGCUAGUCCUUGAAGCACUGUAUAGAAUUGGAGUGGGGAGCAUAGAUACCCUUGUUUUGUUCUGAUAUCAGUGGAACUUACUUCAACGUUCAUCCAUUUGGCUUUAUGAUGAAUAACAUAUUAUAUUGAGAUACAUUCCCUUCAUGCUAGUCUCUCCAGGGUUUUUAUCAUGAAUAGGUGUUAGUUUUUGUCAAAGAUCUUUUCUGUAUCAAUUGAAAACAUCAUGUAUAUGUAUACAUAAAUGCUAAUAUGUACUUUAUGUACUUUAAGGUUAAUACAACAUCAAAUGAGCCACAGUUAACUUUUCAAAUAUACUUUGAUGUUAUUUGUUCUCCCCAGUUCUUCCUGCUCCUUCCCCAGUUAAAACUCCACUCCUUGCUUUUCCUAUUUCCCUUUUCAUAUCCCUCCUACCCUACCAUUCCUCUCUCUAGUGAUCGUCCCCUACCACACGGUCCUUUUUUAAAUCCCUGGUUACUACAAUUACUCAAAGUUACAUAUUUACAUCUGAAGAUCUGGAGCUAGAAACCACAGAUGACAGAGGCAACAUGCAGUGUGUGUCAUUCUGGUGUGAGUUACUCCACUCAAUAUAAUAUUCUAUAGUUCCAUUUACCUGCAAAUUUUAUGUUUUAAUCUUUUAUCACAUACAGUGUUUACAGCUUUAUCCUGUCAGGAUGGGAGAAGCCUAAGUCUGGAAGUCCAUUAAACAGAGGCUGACUUGGGUACUCUGUAGGGCCCUUAGUGGUCCUUCUUUCCCCUACUAGUCCUGUCUAGAUACCUGCCCCUGUACCUGUACUGUUUCUCCUUACAGAGUCUUCUGGGACCGAAAAGCAGCCAUUUCGUAGAGCCUGCUUUUGCUUUCCUUGUUUACCUAUGCCCUUCUAGCUCUGCCUAAUACCCUGUGGUAGUUUGACGAAGAAUGGCCCCCAUAAGCUCAUAUAUUUGAAUGCUUAAUCACUAGGGAGUGACAGUAUUCAAAAAUAUUCUAAGAAUUGGGAAGAGUGACCUUGUUGGAGGAAGUGUGUCACUGGGGGUAGGCGUUCCAGUUUCAAAAACCCAUGUCAGGUCCAGUGUGCCUCUUUCUCCCUACAGAUAAGGAUAUUGCUCUCAGAUACUGUUCCAGUGCCUGGUGGCAUGCUGUCCUGCUCCUUGCCAUGGUGAUAAUGACUAAAUCUCUGCAAGCUCCCAAUUAAAUGCUUUCUCUCUUAAGAGUUGCCGAGGUCAUGGUGUCUCUUCAUGGCAAUAGAACAGUGACUAAGACACAUCCUCUCUCAGAGAUUGAUGCUGACUGCUGAUGGAGGAUAAAUAUAGCUCUCACCCCUCAUCAAAGAAGGUUCAUUUUGGAAAAGACAAGAGACAAUUACAGAAAACUACAUCUGGUCGAAAUGCAGAGAACAACUGAUUGUAGGGUUCGUGGGACAUCAUAGAGGGGAUGGAAUGGUUUCAAAAACCAGAAGACUGGUAAGUUUGCUAUGAGAUUGUGUCUACUAGACGUGACACUGAAGCUACACCCAUGAUGCCUCAAAAACAUGGCAAAAUGGACGUAGAUAAUGACCACACCAAUGGGCAUGCUUACUUUGAAGGGAGAAAUCUUUUUUUUUCUUUUUUUGGCUUUUCGAGACAGGGUUUCUCUGUAUUGUUUUGGAGGCUGUCGGUCCAGCCCAGCCUCAAACUCACAGAGAUCCGCCUGCCUCUGCCUCCCGAGUGCUGGGAUUAAAGGCGUGCGCCACCACCGCCCGGCCUGAAGGGAGAAAUAUUAAGGGACUUAAAGAACUACAGGCAACUAAUGAAUGCUAAAAAAAGGGAGAAUUAGUCUCCUAGGAAUGAACCUCUAAGAAAUUUGUUAUCCACAAGGUGUCAACCCUGAAAAUCAUAUACAUACAAGUAACAUUAAAUAGACUCAGAAGAUUGUAUUUAUGUAUUUAUGUAUGUACUCUUACAUAUGUAUAUGAAAGAAUAAUAAGAGAGAGAGUUGGGGCAGACAUGAGAGAGGCUAGAGAGAGUAGGAAGAAAUGAUGUAAUUAUAUUUUAGAUUUUUAAAAUUGUAAAAAAAAAAAGAAAAAAGCAUGUCAGAGAGGUGAAGCUCAUCUCACCCCUUAUCUCUUGCAUUAUUUUUGGUCUUCCUUAGGGGUGAAAUGGCUCAGAAGUUAAGAGUACUUGCUGUUCUUGGACAGGACCCCAGCGAUUCUAUGGUGGAUCUAAGUAGUUCUUUAUAUGCCUAUAUAUUGAGAGCUUGUGUAGUUACUGAUGUCUAUAAAGUUUUGUGUGUGAAGUUUACAUAAAAGGAACUAAGUAGGAAAGAUGAGACAGAAUUCAGAUGAAUAUAUCUUAAGCAGUCUCAAUGAUUAAACUGCCUGUUUCCUUCCCAUCCCGCCCACCUCCCUUCCUUCCUCUGUUUUCCCCUUUUCGCCCAUACCUUUCCUCCCGUUCUCAAUUUCUUCCUGCCUUACUCUUUCCUUAGAGAUGUGAAAUUAGUCGUGUGGUUGUUCACCUGUUUUCUUUAUUACUAUCCUCUUGCCUAAAAGAUUUCUUGUGCCAAAGGAAUACUUCUGUGCCAAGUCCCUGUCACCUAAGAAUCCCUGCGACCUAAGAAAAGGCACUGCAGCCAGAGAGAAGUGUGCUGAAAUGUUUGCAUAUGGUGAGUAUUCUGGUGUGUACUCACGAGGGACUGGCUGGCCUUGGACAGGAUCCUGUUGCAUUCUCCCAGGGGUUAGGUGGGUAUCUUGACUGUCUCGAGAGCGUGUUGGAAUCAGGAAAGGAGUGAACAUCAGUCUCUGCAAGGCUCAGAGAAUCUCAUGGAGAUUGCGCCUACUGAAAGGAGAUGUGCUCUACAGUGACUGCUUAUCAUUGCUCUCCUUGCCAACAUGGACAUAGUAAUUUGGAGAUGGGGUCCUUCAUAGCUGUUGAGUGGGAUACUUUCUUAUGUUUGAGGUGAGCAAGGACAUGUCUUUGAUCUACUAUACAAUAGCCCAUCGAGCAGCAUGUGGCAGGUGUGGAGUUCAAGGUCAGGGCUUGGCUUUCUUAAGCUGUGUAACUGUCCUCAUCCCAUAUGUGGGGGAGGAGUCAGGUCACUAUGGGGAAGCAGAUGUCCAGAACAUAGGGUUUGCUGACCUGUUUGGGCAGUUGAAAGUGCUGCGUUAUUGUUGAAAUGAAUGGUGACUUUGGGGCAGCAGAGUGUGGCUUUCUGUCUGCUUUCAGCCCUCUUUCCCACAGUAUACUGUAACAGCAAAAGAAGAAAGGUAAUAUUUGUCUUUCCCAUGGGACAGAUUGGGAGCAAUAGAAGUAUAAUAGUCUAAAACAUAUUAGAAGACACUUUCUAAGAGCAAUUUUAGGUUAUUCUUAAAGAUACUCAUUAGGAAAUUCAUUGGCAUACAUUUCUAUUUGACUUCUUUUGCUGCUGUUAAGAAAAAUGUCUAGCAACAGGUAUGCAAUGAUGUCAAAGAGAAACCCUUUCAGUAUUACCAAAGCGAAGUCAAAGAAAUGUUCUCCUUCACCUAGAGCUUCUUUAUUCCCAUUAGGAUGGUCCACCCUAGAGUAACAUAGCAUCAAACAGACAGUUCCUUAGCGUCAGGGAUUUUGUGCUCUGGUGUGUGUGUGUGUGUGUGUGUGUGUGUGUGUGUGUGUGUGUGUGUGUGUGUGUGUUGUGUGUGUAUGUCUGUGUCUGAGUCUGUGUCUGUAUACAAUUAAUGGGAGUUUUAUACAUGUAUACAAUGAGAGAUGAUUAUAUGUAAAUCCAGUUUCUUUUUCUAAUUUCUGUCAUGUUUCCCCAGGAUGCCCCUUCUUAACUUCAUGUCUGGUUUUUGUAACCCUCUCAGCCCAAUUAUUGCUUCCCAUAGGAAUCCUAUAAGUAAAAAAAAAAACAAAACAGUGGUUCUCCCUGUCCCUGCAGCUAUCAGCUGCCAAUAGCUUUUCUUCUUUAAGGGGUGAAUCCAGAAGAACAUCCCUCUCUGAGUUUGGGCUGGGUUGAUCUUUUGCAGGUACACAUAGCUUCUGUCAAUUUGUGACUGUGGUCACCAUGUCAUGUCCAGAAGGCAGCAUCUUUUUGCAGUGAUAGCAGUCAAUGCAGAGAUGCAAGGUUGGUCAGAAUGCCAAGAAUAAGAGAGUAUGUGGGAUUUACAGAGAGGUGGUGAGAUGCAGUUUGGGUGAGUACAAUCCGUAACCAAUGAUGAUGGUCCUGGUGAGAACGGUAAGAGACGUUUACCAUAGUGCAUACUUGUAUGUAGUCGGCUCCUCGGGCAGUUUACACAUGUGUGUGUGUGUGUGUGUGUGUUCCCCCUUCCCCCUUUGUUUGUAAUAACAAUUAACAACAACAACAACAAGAAAAACCAAGCCAUGAAUUUGAAAGAGAGUAAAUAGGGGUAUAUGGGAAGGUUUGAAGGGAGGAAAGGGAAUGGAGAAGUGUUUUAGUUAUAUUGUAACCUCAAAUAUAAAAGGAAAAGGAAAAUUAACAACAGUGAAUUAACUUAAGAUACUAAAAGGUGAACAGAUAAAGAAAGCAGGCUGGGCAAGCCCUGAGGAGCAGCACUCUUCCAUGUUCUCUUUUUAGUUCCUGCCUCCAGGUCGCUGCCCUGACUUCCCUAGAAGAUGGACUACAAACUGUAAAAAGAGGUAAACCCUCUCCUCCAAAGUCGGUUUGGUCAUGGUGUUUUAUUACAGCAGUGCACACCGUGAGAUUUCAGCCUGCAUGGGACCUUCCAGAACUAUGAACACCAGCCAGCAGAGUGGAAGCUUCCAGCUUACUUUUAUUGUGAUUUCUUUAUAUGCUGUGUCCAAAGUCUGGUUUCUUCAGUAACAUAGUCUUACCAUCUAGUUCCGGUGGGUGACCUGCCAAUGGCAGUUUUGGGAGCCUCCAGCCAACAACUCAGAAGGAAAUAGCCCACAA
Molecule: long non-coding RNA, 5603 nt
Organism: Mesocricetus auratus (golden hamster)
Lineage: Eukaryota; Metazoa; Chordata; Mammalia; Rodentia; Cricetidae
Exons: 3
Source: RefSeq, a predicted model, not a curated record